This is a non-coding RNA of Meleagris gallopavo (turkey), 916 nucleotides long. The record is from RefSeq and is a predicted model, not a curated record. NCBI's taxonomy places the organism in Eukaryota, Metazoa, Chordata, Aves, Galliformes, Phasianidae.
CACCUCUAAUAAUCUGGUAGCAUCCAGCUGCACCACCUUUCUUUUGGUCUGUGUUAAGGGAUAUGAGGGAUUUCAUUUUCUCAGAGUUGAACUCCAUUGUGCUGUUCUGCUGCCAAAAGCUGAAGGCUGUAUUUGCAGAGGAUAUGUUAAGCCCCUAAAGGAGAGGAAAAUAAUUGAAUACCUGCCAGGGGAAGGAUUUAAGUAGACAGUUAAGGUUAUUCAUUGCUGUGGGGAAUUCCUGGGAGAUAAAUCUUGUAGUUAAUCACAGACAAGAGAGAGUUGACCCUUGCUGGCUCUUCUACAAUUGUAGGAAUUUUGUUUGCUAAGCAGUAAGAAGAACUCCUGCUCAUGGCCAGCUGUCAUACUCAUCAGUUUGUACAUAGCUGCAAUUUCAGGUGUCUCAGCUUCAGGAUGGCCAUAUCUAUCCUCAAAUCCCUCAGAAGAAACAAUGAUGAGGAAAGCAAGAAUACAAAUCCUUGACCAGGAAAGGUUGGAGUGGGAUUGUCCCCUACAAGAUGGUGCUAAUGCACUCAUUUUUUCCAUUUUUAUUUCUUUGGAUAUGUAAAGUUGUCACAAAUACUAGAAACAAAAUCAUAGAAAUAUGCACAUAAUAUAAGUCAAAUUUUCUCAAGCAAACCUAUGCUAAAACUGGCUCAAGAUAUUAAGGUCUAUUUUUGUACUAUCAUUGCUGUAACUAGGGCACCCAUUCAACCCACCAAAGUCUAUGGAGAACUGUGUCUCUGCACAAUGCAGGUUGAGGUUUCCUUCUGUAGGAGUAUUAAGCGGUUGUUCAUCCAUAUGUGUCUGAGUUUGUCGUGGGAUAAAAGAUGACUUCAUUGUAUUUAAAUGUGUAGAAAUUUUUAAAUAAACGCAGUUUUAGAAUGGUAAUUUACUUGGUAAGCUAUUUGAAAGGUAU